RNAcentral lists this ribosomal RNA (307 nucleotides) under uncultured beta proteobacterium. RNAcentral's name for it is "bacterial SSU rRNA". It matches the Rfam family "Bacterial small subunit ribosomal RNA", at positions 1073 to 1390 of the family's 1533-position model. The record is from RNAcentral. Lineage: Bacteria; Pseudomonadati; Pseudomonadota; Betaproteobacteria.
CGUGGGUUAGUCCCGCACGAGCGCAACCCUUGCCUUAGUUGCUACGAAAGGGCACUCUAAUGGGACUGCCGGUGACAAACCGGAGGAAGGUGGGGAUGACGUCAAGUCCUCAUGGCCCUUAUGGGUAGGGCUACACACGUCAUACAAUGGCUGGUACAAAGGGUUGCCAACCCGCGAGGGGGAGCUAAUCCCAUAAACCCAGUCGUAGUCCGGAUUGUAGUCUGCAACUCGACUGCAUGAAGUCGGAAUCGCUAGUAAUCGUGGAUCAGAAUGUCACGGUGAAUACGUUCCCGGGUCUUGUACACAC